Molecule: ribosomal RNA, 243 nt
Filed under: uncultured bacterium
Lineage: Bacteria
Description: partial 16S ribosomal RNA
Rfam family: Bacterial small subunit ribosomal RNA
Source: RNAcentral
GUUCAUGGCUCAGGACGAACGCUGGCGGCGCGCCUAACACAUGCAAGUCGAACGAGCGAGAGAGAGUUUACUUUUUCGAGCGAGUGGCGAACGGGUGAGUAACGCGUGAGGAACCUGCCUCAAAGAGGGGGACAACAGUUGGAACGACUGCUAAUACCGCAUAAGCCCACGGCUCGGCAUCGAGCAGAGGGAAAAGGAGCAAUCCGCUUUGAGAUGGCCUCGCGUCCGAUUAGCUAGUUGGUG